AUGAUAAGCUCGAGGUAACACAGUACAUUGGUGGCAGAAGUGAGACUACCUUCUAGACCUCCGGGCUCCUGGUGCAGGAGGCCUUGAGCCCACACAAGCGAUACCAGGCAUGGUCUGAGAAAGUUGGAAUUUGGGCCUGGUGGCAAGGAGGACCCAGUCCGAGGAGAAGGUGUCAGACCAGCAGCAGGGACUGACGGCUGUCCCCACCUGCUCCCUCCUUGGUCCUUCACAGCCGUCCCCCACCAGUGGCUCUGCACAUCUAGUUCCAUCUUGGUGGCUCCUUCUUGAGAGACCUCAACUGACACCAUGGUUGCAGGACUCCAUCCUUCUGGAGGUCGUUGGGUGUAGUCUUGUGCUCGCAGUCUGGGCUUUGUCCUCACAAGACUGAGGAGAUGGAAGCCCCUCUCCUUAAGUAUCCGGCAGGGUCUCCUCCUCCCAGCUCUCCUAGACAUCUGGACAGUCCUUCCUGAGUUCUAGCCUAGAGUCACCAA
Long non-coding RNA from Zalophus californianus (California sea lion), 491 nucleotides. RefSeq lists it as uncharacterized. The transcript has 3 exons. NCBI's taxonomy places the organism in Eukaryota, Metazoa, Chordata, Mammalia, Carnivora, Otariidae. The record is from RefSeq and is a predicted model, not a curated record.